Long non-coding RNA from Lolium perenne, 1479 nucleotides. RefSeq lists it as uncharacterized. The record is from RefSeq and is a predicted model, not a curated record. NCBI's taxonomy places the organism in Eukaryota, Viridiplantae, Streptophyta, Magnoliopsida, Poales, Poaceae.
AAAUGUCACUCAUGAUCCAAUUAAAUUUAUUUGAGCAGAAAUUUUAUUUGAAAUGAUGAGGCAUACUAAACGCAUCGAGAAAGCACAGUGGGUCCACGAGGCUACGACGACAUAGGACCGUCGAAAAGGUACCUUGUGUGUUUUAGGUACGAUGGUGGCCAAAUGGGGUUUGAGACAAGAGGUGAGGCUGGAUGGAGCUUUGAGGACCUCCGGUUUGGCGGCAACUUACGACUAUGAUGGGUUAAGCCAGUAUAGGACUUUCAUCAGGUUUUGUAUAAAAAGGAUACAUCUCAUAUUGUUAAAAUUGGCUUCUCUUUGGUAUUUCGCCCUUUUGUAAAUUUUCAGUGCAACUUCAAGAUAAAAUAAGCAAUCAUAGGAGCGUGCUUCCCUGAAUGUUCGUAUAUCUCAGUUUGAUUCAUCUGUUUUUUAUUUUCAGAUUUGUUCGGAGAUUUCCAUCGAGCCAGACAUCAUGUCCGUAUGGCCACAAGUGAGUUUGCAUUUUUUUUAUUGCGCAAAAUAUUUGUUUGUUAGCACUAUCCUGAUCUCCAAAAUAUUGCUACUAUUAGAAGUAACAUGUUUUCAGAUCCUUGGUUCAAGGCUAUCUAAAUUCUCUACAUGAUUGUUAGAAUUCAGAGUAUUGAUGUAUUUCUUGAUAUGUCAAUUGGUAAAAAAGGUUUUGAUAUACUAAUAUAGAAUGUUUUAUAUUUAUAUACUUUAAGUAACUUCCCGUAGAAACAGUUGUUUAAAAAAACGCAGGUUCACAUGUUGAAACAUGGAUAUGCAUUGUACAGUAGUAGAGAUCUCCCACUUGGCAUAUCCAAUCCAUGGUCUCGAACGGACGGCCACGGCGAUGAUGGUGCAGUUUCAUUGUCUGACGAUGAGCCUACUAGGUGUGGUUUUCAAAGGACGCCGAAUGCGGAACUGCGGUGGUCCUCGCACCGGUGAUAGAGCGGCAGGGGAGGGACCGGUCUUCUCAAGAGAGUGGUGGAGCUCGAUAAAGUGGGUGAUCUCGAGAGAUUGAGGAGGCAGUCAGCUUUACACCCUUUACAUUCCUUUUCCACAAAAGGUUUCCAGAAAAAAAAAUUGUUAGCCUUUUCCGCAGUACCUUGUCAGUGAAGGUCGCUUCACUGCAACAGUAGGGAAGGGGAGAAACUUGCGGCAGCGGUGGCAGGUAGUGGAGGAGCAGGUCCUCUCGAUAGCGGCGGGGAGGCAGAUAAGGGGCACCAUAGGCACCGGCGACAGGGACACAAUGGAAGGGAUGGUCGAUGCGGCUGUACGAGGGAAAGAGAAGAUAGUAGCAGAGGUUGAGAGUGUUAUGUAUCCGGUUCGUGCUGUCAUUUUCUUUUCUUUCCUUAAUCCAUAGUAGUGCAUACACCUCUUCUUUAUUUUCUUCUCUACAGUGUAGCAAUGAAUGAGCUACUUCAUCAAUUUAUACACUUCUCAGUAUUGGCACAUAAAUGUCAGAUUUUCUUUGGUCCA